CUCUCUCUCUCUCUCUCUCUAAUGCAGAAUGUAAUCAUCUCAUUCAUAAAGUUCAUUAGAGGCAAGUGAGAGCUGAAAUCUGCGGCAGCUUGCACCAGGUCUAAUAAAGAAUUGCAGAUGCUGCUGUAGAACUUGUGUCUAUACAAUUUUUUGACAUGGAACAGAACUCUAGCUGCAUCACUGUAAAGACACAAUUUUUUUUUUUUUUUCUGAAGAAUAGACAUACAAUUUUUAGUUUCUGUUUAUAACUAGGAAUAUCAAUUAUCUAUUUAUCAGAGGAUUACUUAAUUUUAUGAAAAAGUGUUACAAUAUAGAAUUAAUUUCUUGCUUUAUUCUGAAUGAUUUAGGUGAUACUCACAUUGACAAACUAUGAAGACAACAGAAUCUUGUCAAGGAGCAGCAGGAACAUCUUCAAGCCUUCAACGAGUUCAACCACUAUGUUGAGCUUUAGAGAUUCUAACCUCUCAGCAGCUUUGCAUGUGCUUAUGGUUUUGCAGACGUGAUCUUGUCAUUCAUCUGAAGUUGACUAUAUAAACAGGAAGAAUAACCUCUUUUGAUUCAGAUCCAAUGAACGUGGGACACUCAGAAAGAAAUGAGCAAAAGCUGGGAAAGAGAUGGAUAUGCUCCAACUUGUACGAUUAUAAUAGAAUGAUUUUUCAUGCUGGUGGGGAAUUUAUGUUGGAUUGCAAGUACCACCUCUCUUCUUAUGCAAGGUACAAUGGUUUAUCAUCUCCUACGUUCCUGUGAUUUAUUUUUUGGUUCAACACUACUACCAUGAACCUAUAAAAACUACUUAUUUCUUUUCCUCUUCUUUGUAUGUGAAAGAUAUUUUAUCUUUAUAAAACUUACACAGUUACAAAUCAAUGUUGAUUUGAACAAUAUAUUGCUUCUUGGGAGUGAGAGUGAAUGGUACUCUGUAAGAAAGUCUCCACCCCCAAGUUGUAGUGUGAAUUGAUCCCACAACUUCAUGAUUGUGAGGUAUAAUUUUUACUAUUAGACUUUAUACUACUCCGUACUAGUAGUUGGUAUACUAUACGGAGUACUAAUGAGUGAUCAUUUACAAUGUGUCUGGUAAGUAAACUUUUUAAUAAAAAUAUAGAAGUCACCUGUGAUUUACAAAAUGGUUUGAUUUGUACUUCUCAUCUAUCUGUUGUUAAGCGACGAGCAAAUAUUUUUCACAAAAGCUUUAGAAAAGUGGAGGUUUCAAAACACAAGUUGGUUAUUCGCGAUUAAAGAUAGCACUAGAUCAGGUUUGCUUGCUUGUAACACGACAUGAUAAAUAUGCUAAAACUAAUUAAAUUUGAUGCAUACGCAAGCAUUGGCUAGGCUUAGUAGCACAUGUGCUUAUACCUCGUGAAAAUUUUCAGCAUAACACGUAACUAAUAGGCUCAGUCGUGGUUAAGAUUUAGCCAAGCCCCAAGGCACACAAGCCUGGCACGAGGCACAACCUAUAACAUUUAAUUCAUGAUCUAUAUACUACAACUUGAGGUAUUGAGACUUGAGAGGGCGAAAAAUUUAUUUUCCUGUUAAACAAAAAGAAUGUUUAUCAAG
Chenopodium quinoa (quinoa) is the source of this 1551-nucleotide long non-coding RNA. RefSeq lists it as uncharacterized. Lineage: Eukaryota; Viridiplantae; Streptophyta; Magnoliopsida; Caryophyllales; Amaranthaceae. The record is from RefSeq and is a predicted model, not a curated record. The transcript has 6 exons.